GACGUGCUAAUCUGCGAUAAGCGUCGGUAAGGUGAUAUGAACCGUUAUAACCGGCGAUUUCCGAAUGGGGAAACCCAGUGUGAUUCGUCACACUAUCAUUAACUGAAUCCAUAGGUUAAUGAGGCGAACCGGGGGAACUGAAACAUCUAAGUACCCCGAGGAAAAGAAAUCAACCGAGAUUCCCCCAGUAGCGGCGAGCGAACGGGGAGCAGCCCAGAGCCUGAAUCAGUGUGUGUGUUAGUGGAAGCGUCUGGAAAGGCGCGCGAUACAGGGUGACAGC
This 280-nucleotide ribosomal RNA is filed under the name Escherichia coli. RNAcentral describes it as "partial 23S ribosomal RNA". It matches the Rfam family "Bacterial large subunit ribosomal RNA", at positions 55 to 371 of the family's 2925-position model. Lineage: Bacteria; Pseudomonadati; Pseudomonadota; Gammaproteobacteria; Enterobacterales; Enterobacteriaceae. The record is from RNAcentral.